GUCUAGAUUGUGCGAAAGAAGAUAACAACUACAUUUCUUAUAUUUUUAAUAUGACAAGUAUUGUAACAAUUGAUUACAACAACAAUAAAUUAUUGUUCAGAUACUACAAAUUCAUACAACAUACAAAGCUUCAGUAAAGGAAGAAAUAGUAUCAUUCAAGGUCAGUUUCUGUGUUGUUCAUGUUGAACAGACACACAUGGACAUUUAAAGUCUUUUAUUUCAUUUAAUUUUCAUUCUUUUUAAAGUCUGAUGCAUUUUCCUGAAUAUUGAUUUUGUUCUUCAAAGGUAUCCUUGUAUAAAAUGUAAUAUUAGUAAGUAAAAAUAAUUCAAGAAUGCAGAAAAAAAAAUCAUUUAUGGAAUUCAUUAAUUAAAGUUAAUUUAAAUUUUAUGAAUAAGUUAUGACAGACUAUUGAAUUCAAGGCCAGUUAUUCUUCUAGCUGGAGUCAAAAUAUCCCAGUUUGUAGACCUUAUUCUGUCAAUGGGAAUCAAAAUUAAAAUCCUUUACUUUUAAGAAACAUUCUAAUUUACGACUCGGUGAUGAUUAAAUUGAUGCUGUUGAUAACUAGCAUAUGAUCAUUAAAGAUAUAUGAAAUAGUGUACAAAAUUGUCUACUUUAUCAUCUUUGUUUUCCUUAAAACUUUGUUUAUUUAUAAAAUAGUCAAAUUACAUGCAGAGUUAUUUAAUAGAGUUUUCUUUAAACCAUUUGCACAAUCUUUGCACACACAUAAUAUAAUAUAUUCAAAAUCAUUGUAGACAUAUGUAUCUCUUUAAAUGCUAUAAAUGCAUUUGUAUAUCAAAUUUAUAUAGAAGUUUAUCACAUCCAUUUGGGCAUCAUCUAGAUCUUUUCCUAGUUAUAUCAAUGCUUAAAUAAAGAUAACAAAAGUCUUAUACUAAUGCUAAGGUGGUUGUCUCGUCAAAUAUGCACCAGAUUGUAUUUAAGAAACAAUUCAAAGAAAAGUUUGUUAUGAAGUGGACAAGUUUGUGAAAUCUACUUAACCACAAAAAGUUGUAUGCACCAUAAUACAUGUUACAUUGUGACUUUAACUACGAAUGUAGAUUGUGUUCAAUUAAUCUUUUUUUUAUUAUUUUCAAUCAACUUGACCUAUUAGGAAUAAAUAUUUGAAAAUUCAUAUAUUUUGUUUUCAUUUUUAGAUAGGUAUAAAACUGCAGGAGUUCAAAUUUAUAGAGUCUUUAUCUAAUGUGAAAGUUCUACAUUUAUCUUGUUUUAGAGAAUAUGUUAAAAUAAUGUACAUUGGUCCUGAUAUAAUCAUGAUAAUCUUUAAAUUACAAAAAAUGGAAAAUGUAUAAUUUAAUAGAAAAAUUAACACAGAAAAACAACAAUAAAAAUGUCAAUAAAAAUUGUCCAGUUAUCAGGCAAAUUGUCCUGCUGAAAUUAUUAAAAUCACUUGUUGUACAGAGAGAACUCUGUAGCAGAUCAGCAAUUUACCAAAAAAUAAAUGCUUAUGCAAAAGAUCUUUUGUAAAUGAAAUAUUUUCCAAUUGCAAUGAUUUUUUUUAUCAUUUUUUUAAUUAUAAAAAGAACACUUUCCAAUAACUGCAUGUUAGAAAAAAACCCAUCAAUUAACAUGCAUUUCAUAGGAAGUUUUCCAUAAAUCAAUUUGAAGCACUAAAAACAUUCAACAGCACAACAAUAAUUUUUGUGCCUAUUUCUUCACUAAAACAUAUAAAAUGGUGCAGUUGAACUAUUGAAAAAUUUACAAUUUUACUUGUGUAAUUAUCUAAUAUAAAUUUCAAUUUCAAAAUUUUUGUACAUGAAAAAUAACAAAUAAAUUAAAUUUGAAAAAGAAAAUCAUUUUAUAAAGUUUAGAAUACCUCUAAAUUGUAAUAUAUAAAUGUAAAACAAUUAACUGACAAUACAAAAAUGAUUAAAUUUACAUUAUCUUAAAUAUUAAAAGAAAUAUAUGUGUAUACUGGCCAUAAAUAAAAACACAUACAACACAGAUAGCAACAGAAGAUUUUCUUACAUUUUCUAUUUUAAUGAAAAAUCUGUUACUCUUCACGCAUCUUAGUAGAGGACAGUAUUUUCUGUCUAUCUUCUUCGUAAUUCUUAGUACAUAUUUAAAACAAACACCUUCAAUAUAUUUCUAAAAAAAUCUUGGAACAAUCUAAAUACAUGAAUCAUUUUAUAAAUUUAAGUGGUGUUAUUUCUUCUUUGUUUUUGUAUAUUUUUACAUUUAUUUUUCUUAUCAUAUAUUAAGAAUACAGAAUCCAGACAUGACAUGUUUAGUCAUAACAUGCUUUUAAAUUCUAUGUCAUGUAAAAUAAAAGAUAUGUAAACUUUUGAGUUAUGACAUGCAUUCUCCUGAAUUCUGCUUCAUUCAUGCAAUGCUUAAAUAUUGAAAUUCUGACUAGAAAAAAGAAACUUUAUGCAUGCUAUGAAAAGUUGAUAGACUGGUUUAAGGAGAAAAUUCAUUUGCAUAAGUAUAAAUAAAGUAGUUGACCAUUUAAUAAUUAAAUUAUAUCUGAAAUAUUAUUUUUUUAUAUACUUUUCAAAUUGACUUUAUGUACAAAUAAUGACAUUUGACUGUAUCAUGUGUAUGUUUCAUACAAAUAAAAUAGAAAGAAAGAAAAAAAACCUUCAAAAUCAAUGUAUGGUACUUAUUUUAGAACCAUUUUUUGUAACAACUUAAAACUUCUCUUUUCAUUCAGGACAAAAAAUAAAAAAAGAAACAUUGCUCAAUGUUACCAGCUACUGAGAACAAUCUGACAGUACAUUGAAAUCAAGUCAAUGGUUGAGAAGCAAUUGCAAACAGACAAACAAAAAAACACAUCGCAAAACACUUUCGUUUCACAAAUAAAUGUU
This 2823-nucleotide long non-coding RNA is filed under the name Mytilus galloprovincialis (Mediterranean mussel). Lineage: Eukaryota; Metazoa; Mollusca; Bivalvia; Mytilida; Mytilidae. The record is from RNAcentral.